Molecule: non-coding RNA, 73 nt
Organism: Myotis brandtii (Brandt's bat)
Lineage: Eukaryota; Metazoa; Chordata; Mammalia; Chiroptera; Vespertilionidae
Source: Rfam
GCCCGUGUGGCUCAGUUGGUUGGGUGUCAUCCUGUGCACCAGGAGGUCGCCAGUUUGAUUCUGGUCAAGGGCA